AUUGAACGCUGGCGGCAGGCCUAACACAUGCAAGUCGAGCGGAUGAAGGGAGCUUGCUCCUGGAUUCAGCGGCGGACGGGUGAGUAAUGCCUAGGAAUCUGCCUGGUAGUGGGGGAUAACGUCCGGAAACGGGCGCUAAUACCGCAUACGUCCUGAGGGAGAAAGUGGGGGAUCUUCGGACCUCACGCUAUCAGAUGAGCCUAGGUCGGAUUAGCUAGUUGGUGGGGUAAAGGCCUACCAAGGCGACGAUCCGUAACUGGUCUGAGAGGAUGAUCAGUCACACUGGAACUGAGACCCGGUCCAGACCCCUCCGGGGGGGCGGUGUGGGGAAUUUUGGACAAUGGGCGAAAGCCUGAUCCAGCCAGGCCGCGUGGGUGAAGAAGGUUUUCGGUUUGUAAAGCCCUUUAAGUUGGGGGGAAGGGAAGUAAGUUAAUACCUUGCUGUUUUGACGUUACCAACAGAAUAAGCCCCGGCUAACUUCGU
Molecule: ribosomal RNA, 483 nt
Filed under: uncultured bacterium
Lineage: Bacteria
Description: partial 16S ribosomal RNA
Rfam family: Bacterial small subunit ribosomal RNA
Source: RNAcentral